Long non-coding RNA from Cyprinus carpio (common carp), 1418 nucleotides. RefSeq lists it as uncharacterized. The record is from RefSeq and is a predicted model, not a curated record. Lineage: Eukaryota; Metazoa; Chordata; Actinopteri; Cypriniformes; Cyprinidae. The transcript is spliced from 5 exons.
UGAAAAUCUACAAAAGAAUCGUCAUCUGGAAAUCUCAUCAGAUGGAGUAUUUUUUAUUUUCUGCCUGUGUUUGUAACAGCAAGUGAAGUGUCUCUGCAGGAGACUGUUGAGGGAUUUAUUGGAGGAUCUGCUGUUUUACCUUGUUCUUCUGAAAAACCUCCGAUUACAAUUCAAGACAUCACAGUGCGCUGGAGAAACAAGUACGACAAGAUUGUGUACGAGAUUAUUGAUGGUCAAGUCUCUGUGGAAGAACAGGAUCAACAGUACAAGAACAGAGGCAGAAGAAAGCUUCCCAGGGAGUAUAGAGAAGAAAGCAAACUUCUCCAUCAAACUCAACAAUCUUCAACACACUGAUGCAGGAAAAUACACGUGCUACAUCAUCAUGAAGGAAUCAGUACUCAGGAUUGUUGAGCUUUUAAUUAAAGAGAGACCAGAAAGACAACUCCCCAGCGAAGGAACAAACCCAAAACCAGAGAUGAUUGUAAUGUUCGUUUCCAUUCUUUGCACUGGCAUUAUAUUUUCAUUGUCUAACUCUGCCACAGUGUGUUUUUAAGGAGUUUUAGUCAUUGCUCACUAUGACUCGACAUCAUCUCACAGGCUCCUAGAAAUGUCUGUAUAUCAUCUGUAGAUAUUAAUUUGUUUUUCUUCACACCUCAUUAAUCUGUGUAGCCCAUCUAAACCUUCUGCACAGUGCUGCAAUACCAGCAUACACUGAAAUAUAAAAGCUCUGUCUAUUAUAGAUGAGCUGCUGUGAUGGAGGUAGACAUCAAUUAUCUCUGGUGCUGUGUUUACAGUAGUGAGAGAACUAUUUUACCAUUUUACAACCACUAAUUAUAAUUCAAGUAUACAACAGGCUGUGAAAAUGUUUAUUGUGAACUAAUCCCAGGCCUAAUGUGAUGUGCUGUAAAAAGUACAACUUGUAUGUUUUCAUUACAAUCGCUAGGACCCAUUUCUUAAUACUUAAGGCACUUUUUCAAAACUCUCUCCACCAUAUCUCCUAAAAAAACAAUUUCAGUUUGGGCACAGCAACUAAUUUCACACUCAAAUGCACCCAAAAUUAUGAGAACAAUGCAUACUUUGUCUCAAAUCAAAUCAUUGUUACAUAAUGCUAGCAAAGAUUGUCACAUCAUAAAACAAUAACCUAAAAACACUGGUAAAAACUGGUAACAUUAGACAACAUUUUCUUUAUUGCUGUCAAAUUGCUGUUUAUUUCACUUAAGUUAAAAAAUAAAUAAAUAAAUAAAAGAGUAUGUAAACAUGUACAGUAAGUUGCCCUGAAGGUUUUUAUGUCUGAGUCAGAAAGGAAUUCAUGUAAUAUGAAAGAUGUAGUCACUGAAUGCUUUUUGUGCCAAAGCAUUGAUGAAUAAUGCACAGUUUAACCCACAUAGACUGCUAUUGUGCUCAAUGUGUGAAGAGUU